This 457-nucleotide ribosomal RNA is filed under the name uncultured bacterium. RNAcentral's name for it is "bacterial SSU rRNA". It matches the Rfam family "Bacterial small subunit ribosomal RNA", at positions 29 to 524 of the family's 1533-position model. The record is from RNAcentral.
AGCGAACGCUGGCGGCAGGCCUAACACAUGCAAGUCGAGCGGCCGUAGCAAUACGGCAGCGGCAGACGGGAGAGUAACACGUGGGAACGUGCCCUUUGGUUCGGAAUAACGCAGGGAAACUUGCGCUAAUACCGAAUAAGCCCUUACGGGGAAAGAUUUAUCGCCAUUGGAGCGGCCCGCGUCUGAUUAGCUAGUUGGUGGGGUAACGGCUCACCAAGGCGACGAUCAGUAGCNGGUCUGAGAGGAUGAUCAGCCUCACUGGGACUGAGACACGGCCCAGACUCCUACGGGAGGCAGCAGUGGGGAAUAUUGGACAAUGGGCGCAAGCCUGAUCCAGCCAUGCCGCGUGGAUGAUGAAGGCCUUAGGGUUGUAAACCUCUUUCAGCAGGGACGAAGCGAAAGUGACGGUACCUGCAGAAGAAGCACCGGCCAACUACGUGCCAGCAGCCGCCGUAAU